RNAcentral lists this ribosomal RNA (409 nucleotides) under Verrucomicrobiota bacterium. Its description in RNAcentral is "Verrucomicrobia bacterium partial 16S ribosomal RNA". It matches the Rfam family "Bacterial small subunit ribosomal RNA", at positions 355 to 776 of the family's 1533-position model. Lineage: Bacteria; Pseudomonadati; Verrucomicrobiota. The record is from RNAcentral.
UGGGGAAUAUUGCACAAUGGGCGGAAGCCUGAUGCAGCGACGCCGCGUGAGGGAUGACGGCCUUCGGGUUGUAAACCUCUUUCAGUAGGGACGAAGCGUAAGUGACGGUACCUGCAGAAGAAGCACCGGCUAACUACGUGCCAGCAGCCGCGGUAAUACGUAGGGUGCGAGCGUUGUCCGGAAUUACUGGGCGUAAAGAGCUCGUAGGCGGUUUGUCACGUCGUCUGUGAAAUCCUAGGGCUUAACCCUGGACGUGCAGGCGAUACGGGCUGACUUGAGUACUACAGGGGAGACUGGAAUUUCUGGUGUAGCGGUGGAAUGCACAGAUAUCAGGAAGAACACCGAUGGCGAAGGCAGGUCUCUGGGUAGUAACUGAAGCUGAGGAGCGAAAGCAUGGGUAGCGAACAGG